RNAcentral lists this ribosomal RNA (458 nucleotides) under uncultured bacterium. Its description in RNAcentral is "partial 16S ribosomal RNA". It matches the Rfam family "Bacterial small subunit ribosomal RNA", at positions 28 to 507 of the family's 1533-position model. The record is from RNAcentral.
GGUGAACGCUGGCGGCGUGCUUAAGACAUGCAAGUCGAACGGGCUCUUCGGAGCCAGUGGCGCACGGGUGAGUAACGCGUCACUGACCUACCCCAAAGUCGCGGAUAACGAUUCGAAAGAAUCGCUAAUACGUGAUGUGCUGUCAGAUCCUGUUCUGCCAGUAAAGAUUUAUUGCUUUGGGAUGGGGUUUCGUUCCAUCAGCUAGUUGGUGGGGUAAAGGCCCACUAAGGCGACGACGGAUCGCCGGCCUGAGAGGGUGGACGGCCACAGGGGCACUGAGACACGGGUCCCACUCCUACGGGAGGCAGCAGUUAGAAAUCUUCCACAAUGGGCGAAAGCCUGAUGGAGCGACGCCGCGUGAGGGAUGAAGGUCUUCGGAUCGUAAACCUCUGAAUCAGGGACGAAAGACGCGAGAGCGGGAUGACGGUACCUGAGUAAUAGCACCGGCUAACUCCGUG